This is a non-coding RNA of Ixodes scapularis (black-legged tick), 73 nucleotides long. The record is from Rfam. Lineage: Eukaryota; Metazoa; Arthropoda; Arachnida; Ixodida; Ixodidae.
CCCUGGCUAGCUCAGUUGGUAGAGCGUUUCACUGGAAAUGGGGAGGUUUAGGGUUCGACACCCGGACCAGGCA